This 496-nucleotide ribosomal RNA is filed under the name uncultured bacterium. RNAcentral describes it as "partial 16S ribosomal RNA". It matches the Rfam family "Bacterial small subunit ribosomal RNA", at positions 29 to 507 of the family's 1533-position model. The record is from RNAcentral.
AUGAACGCUGGCGGCGUGCCUAAUCCAUGCCAGUCGAGCGAACAGACGAGGAGCUUGCUCCUCUGACGUUAGCGGCGGACGGGUGAGUAACACGUGGAUAACCUACCUAUAAGACUGGGAUAACUUCGGGAAACCGGAGCUAAUACCGGAUAACAUGUUGAACCGCAUGGUUCAACAGUGAAAGACGGUUUUGCUGUCACUUAUAGAUGGAUCCGCGUCGCAUUAGCUAGUUGGUAAGGUAACGGCUUACCAAGGCAACGAUGCGUAGCCGACCUGAGAGGGUGAUCGGCCACACUGGAACUGAGACACGGUCCAGACUCCUACGGGAGGCAGCAGUAGGGAAUCUUCCGCAAUGGGCGAAAGCCUGACGGAGCAACGCCGCGUGAGUGAAGAAGGUCUUCGGAUCGUAAAACUCUGUUAUUAGGGAAGAACAAAUGUGUAAGUAACUAUGCACGUCUUGACGGUACCUAAUCAGAAAGCCACGGCUAACUACGUG